GUGUCAGCAGCCGCGGUAAUACGGGGGGGGCAAGCGUUGUUCGGAAUUACUGGGCGUAAAGGGUUCGUAGGUGGCUCGCUAAGCCAGACGUGAAAUCCCUCAGCUUAACUGGGGAACUGCGUCUGGGACUGGAGAGCUUGAGUGCAGGAGAGGAAUGCGGAAUUCCAGGUGUAGCGGUGAAAUGCGUAGAUAUCUGGAGGAACACCGGUGGCGAAGGCGGCAUUCUGGACUGCAACUGACACUGAGGAACGAAAGCCAGGGGAGCAAACGGGAUUAGAUACCCCAGUAGUCC
RNAcentral lists this ribosomal RNA (292 nucleotides) under uncultured bacterium. RNAcentral describes it as "partial 16S ribosomal RNA". It matches the Rfam family "Bacterial small subunit ribosomal RNA", at positions 505 to 796 of the family's 1533-position model. The record is from RNAcentral.